This 88-nucleotide transfer RNA is filed under the name Candidatus Woesearchaeota archaeon. RNAcentral describes it as "tRNA-Gln". It matches the Rfam family "tRNA". Rfam says of the family: Transfer RNA (tRNA) molecules are approximately 80 nucleotides in length. The record is from RNAcentral. Lineage: Archaea; Nanobdellati; Candidatus Woesearchaeota.
AGCCCCGUAGUGUAGCGGUCAAAUCUUACGAGGCCAAUCAUGCGAGGCUCUGGACCUUGCGACCCAGGUUCGAAUCCUGGCGGGGCUA